RNAcentral lists this ribosomal RNA (860 nucleotides) under uncultured euryarchaeote. RNAcentral describes it as "bacterial SSU rRNA". It matches the Rfam family "Archaeal small subunit ribosomal RNA", at positions 1 to 879 of the family's 1478-position model. Lineage: Archaea; Methanobacteriati; Methanobacteriota. The record is from RNAcentral.
UUCCGGUUGAUCCUGCCGGAGGCGACCGCUUUUGGAGUUCGAUUAAGCCAUGCGAGUCGAGAGCUUUCGGAGCUCGGCAUACUGCUCAGUAACACGUGGAUAACAUGCCCUAUUGUCUGGAAUAACCUCGGGAAACUGAGAACAAUGCCGGAUAGCCCACAAUGCCUGGAACGGUUUGUGGGUGAAGAUAGGAUGGGUCUGCGGCGUAUCAGGUCGUAGGGGGUGUAAUGGACCUCCUAGCCAUCGACGCGUACGGGUGUUGGGAGACAUAGCCCGGAGAUGGAUUCUGAGACACGAAUCCAGACCCUACGGGGUGCAGCAGGCGCGAAAACUUCACACUGCAGGAAACUGUGAUGAGGGAACUCCAAGUGCUAUCACUAUGUGGUAGCUUUUCUUAACUAUUAAUCGGUUUUGGAAUAAGGGCUGGGAAAGACCGGUGCCAGCCGCCGCGGUAAUACCGGCAGCUCAAGUGGUCGUCGCUUUUAUUGGGCCUAAGACGUCCGUAGCCUGUUUAGUAAAUUCGUGGGUAAAUCAACCAGCUUAACUGGUUGAAUUCUGCAAAGACUGCUAGACUAGGGACCGGGAGAGGUGUGAGGUACUCUAGGGGUAGAGGUAAAAUUCUGUCAUCCUUGGAGGACCACCAGUUGCGAAGGCGUCACACUAGAACGGAUCCGACGGUCAGGGACGAAGCCUAGGGGCACGAACCGGAUUAGAUACCCGGGUAGUCCUAGGUGUAAACGCUGUGAACUUGGUGUCGGGAUUCCGUCAGGGGACCUCGGUGCCGAAGUGAAGAUGUUAAGUUCACUGCCUGGGGAGUACGGUCGCAAGGCUGAAACUUAAAGGAAUUGGCGGGGCAGCAC